Molecule: small RNA, 46 nt
Filed under: Fimbriiglobus ruber
Lineage: Bacteria; Pseudomonadati; Planctomycetota; Planctomycetia; Gemmatales; Gemmataceae
Description: Acido-Lenti-1 RNA
Rfam family: Acido-Lenti-1 RNA
Source: Rfam by way of RNAcentral
CUCAGGGUCCACACCCUGGGCUAUUUUCUGCCGCCUCUUCGAGGCU